Myotis davidii is the source of this 3657-nucleotide long non-coding RNA. RefSeq lists it as uncharacterized. Lineage: Eukaryota; Metazoa; Chordata; Mammalia; Chiroptera; Vespertilionidae. The transcript has 2 exons. The record is from RefSeq and is a predicted model, not a curated record.
UUUCAUCUUUCUGUUAUUAUUCCAAUCAGAAUUCCCUUUUUAAUCUUCACAGUCUCUCUAACAGGCCUUGCUUCUCACUCAGAUGGCCUUGGCCAUUGGGCUACCUGUGGCUGUUUGUGUGUGUGUGUGUGUUUCAACACUCUUACUAGGAUGAAAACUCUUUGAAGGAGAACCGUCUCAUUCUUCUCUAGCACCCAGCACACAUUUCACUAAAAUACUGUUGCUAUCUGGAAUUCAUUACUUUUAAAGGCCAGGGAAAUACUGCUUAUCAAUCCAAGACGGGGUGACAGGACAUACACACACACACACACACGUUUUUCCCACUAGACUGCUUACCUUUUCACCACCAAGUGUGUCUGUCAUCCAUGGCUGUGUUAUUUAUAGCCACCUACAGUGUUGCUUGAGAGAAUGUGGGCUUAUGGGAAAUUUCAGAUGCUCUGAUAUGUGUGAGUUGCUCUUUACAGUGGAGGUUUCCUCUGUCUUCAGUCUUCGGUGUCUGUGAGUUUGGGGGAGCAGUAGUCUGUGGGUGUUAAGGGUUGUUGUUUUUCCAUCCAUUGCAGGCUGCCUUUGAUUCAUUUAUCUUCUUGUGUGUGAAUUUUUUUAUAGAGGGCCAACAUGUUAUGACUGGAGAGGCCAGAAAAAGUCAUAAAGGAAACCAUCCCAUCUGACUCAGGACAAUUUUUGCCACUCCCGCCUUUCACUUGUAUGAAUCAUAGGUUAUCUCCUGUCAUUGGGGUGGUUGGAGAAGGGCCGUUGAAUGAGGGUCUUGCUUGGUGCAUGGUGAGUGUCUGAAGACACUGAUACUCUUCUACCGGCCUGAGGGCGGACAUCCCAUAUUGCAAAGGUGACUUCUGGUUGUACUUUUUGGAAAGCCCCGUCAAGGGCGCAUGUUAAGGAGACUUAAAUAUGGAGGCUUUCUUCGAUGGGUGCUUCAUAGGAAUGAGUCUUAAAGGUCCAAGGAUGUUCUUGAAAGUCUUCAGCUUCCUCUCCCACCAUCAUCUCCAUCAGCUCCCCGUGAAGCCCUCCCUCUCCCCCUUCCCCCGCCCCCCGAUGAAUGCGAGUCUAGAAACCAGAGGUAGUACACUUCCUGUGCCUGCCCAGCUUCCCGACCAGCCUCCCUUCCAGCUGGCUCAUCAUCACCCAUAGAGCCCUUCCUCUCUGGGAAUUCUGGAGCCACCAAUGACUUUAUAACAUUAAACAUGGACGAGCAAUGGGAGAGAAAGGAGGUGAAAUAAGAAUUUUAUGUCUUCAUUUCCUGGGGCACUUACUGGAAACGGUUGAGACAGAGUCCUUUAAAUUUGAUGUACCAUUGGUAAGCUUUCAAACUGCCGAGAGCAAUUACCUUCCAAGAUUUUGACGACGAUGUUGGUGAGGAUGUUUGUGGUAAUUACAUAAUCACUUAUAUUUAUUCAGCACUAUGCAAAGUAUUUUGUCCAGCUCAGAGUGUUUCCUGUUACCAGUUUGUUAGUGAAAUGCUUAUGUUGCCUUCAGGGCACAGGGAGGGGGGAAAUCUAGUUUCUUAACCGAUCAGUGUUUAGUUCUUGAAUAACUAUUGGAGAUCAAAUGCAUCCUACUCCAAGCCUAAUGGCUUUGCUACUCCUCGAGGUGUAACUUCUUUGCUAUAGAAGCAAUUGACUAAAUGUUAGAUGUCUGCUUUACUUGUGUUCUGCUGGUCAAAACAGUUUUGCUCUUCUCGUUACAUCUUUAAGUUAUGGGAAAGGAAGCCCCAAACAAUACUUGACCUCUGAUACAAUGUACUAUUUUGAUUAUGAUCAGUACUUUAAUAAAAGUUUUAUUAAAGAGACUUCUGUGUGAGCUGUUGAAAAUCUUGGGAAAGUCUGAUGGAUCCGGCAUCGCCUCUCUUAAAUCACCUUCCCAUGUUACACAAGAUGGUCACGGAGGCAGACUUGGCCCCUGUUCUCUAAACUGAAGUGCCUUCAAUUUAUAAGAAAAGGAAGGGGCGAGAGUGGGUAGUUAACGACUGUGCUGGUGGCCAGCAGGCGCUUGUGUGCACUUUGCCAGUGGUGACCAGGGCUCAGUAGAGAGCCUGCUUUUUAAUGAACAUUUCUGUCCGCAGUCCUCUUGGGUGCAUAUCUCUUGAGAACAAAGUGUUUUGGUUUUUGUUGUUGUUAAAAUAGCUGUCAAAUAAGUAUUCAAAGCGCAGCAAACGUUAUAAAAAUAGUCAUUUGCCUACAUGUCCAGGCAAAUGAAAACUAGUGCCAGGAACACAGAAAAGAGAAAUGAUUUGAAUAACUUUACUAUCAUUGCGGCUUCUGGGGGAAAUAGCACCAGGGUGCGCAAAGUCUAGCCUGGCAACCUUGACCGUGCCUGGUGAUAGUAAUUUUUAAACAAUCUCUCAGGUUAAUAGGAUGCUUUAGUGUCCAUAAAACAGUUUCACUCACAUGCCAUCUUUAAUUCUGGAAGCAAUCCUUUAGGAUGGGUAUAAUGAUCCUGCCUUACAGAUCCUAUGGAAAUGGAGACCCAGAAAGAUGAUAACUAUCUGAGGCAUUGCAAUGGAUCACAAGUUUGUCUUUCCAUCAUUUUACCAUUUUUAGUCCUCGUGUUCUGCUCGCUGCUUGCUUUCUGACUAAACCUAAGUUUAAAAACUAGGGUCCCGUCGUGUUUUUGUAUUUCCAUAGCUAAAUUGCAGAAGAAGGGGAUGGAAGGAUGGAUAUCAGAAACCUUGUUCUGUGCCUCGAAAAUUAGAAGCCACAUAUAGGACUGGAGAAUGUCCUCUUUCAAUAUGCAUGUCUUUGAGAGUUUUGUCCACCAGUCUUACUGGAGUUCAAGCUGUGGAAUGAGUCAUUUUUUACCCCUUUUUCAUGUGGGGAUAAUUUCUCUUUUAAGCACCAUGUGGUCUGUCUCCUUGAGGGCAUGGUCAGUAGACAGAUGUUGCCAUUUAUAAAACUUUGUGGUAGUUGCUACAGUCCUGUAGCUUUGCUCUUUCCCAGAGCUUCAAGAGUAUAACAUAAUCAGUGGAGGGCAUCCGUACAUAGGAAGGGCGCUUCUUCACCAUGUCAGCCUAGAGGUCAAGUAUUGUCCGGGGCUUCCUUUCACAGAAUUUCUUGAAGAUGAAUAUCUCAAUACAGAUACAGAGAAGAACAACAUUGUUUUGAGUGGCAUCACCCGAAUCACACAGAUAUCUCAUAUUUAGUCAAGUUGCUUUCAUAAAGAAGUUAUACCUUGAGUAGCAAAGCCUACUCCUUGUAUGACUAUAAUAUUUCAAAGGAUAUGGUAAAUAAUGAUCUCAAUUAGCAGAAACUGUAUUUGGUUUGCCAGACAGAACGCUAAUUUGUAUUCUUGCUUUCCUGCAACUUGCUCUGCAUAAACGUUAUUUCCCCCACCACAUAAAAAGAGAAGUUGAGUCAUGAUGUUGUUUUACUUAAUUUUGGUUAAGGAAGCCCAUCAAAGCAGCUCCCACACUAAUAUGGACUUCUUUCUCUUCCUUUCCACUAGUAUUCAUCAGGAUGAUUUCCCCCAGGGACUUGGAACUGACAAUCAUUCUGAUUUUUCCUUCUCAGUGAAAAUUUCCUAGAAAAGAUGAGCUUCACUAAAUAAUGACUGGGCUCAUGAAUUUAUAAUUGGAGAGUUUUUCUUGAAAACUAUCAUAGGUUUAGGUUUUACAUUUUCGUGCACUUCAAAAAAAAAAAGGAUUUC